This 389-nucleotide ribosomal RNA is filed under the name uncultured bacterium. Its description in RNAcentral is "bacterial SSU rRNA". It matches the Rfam family "Bacterial small subunit ribosomal RNA", at positions 30 to 417 of the family's 1533-position model. The record is from RNAcentral.
AUUGAACGCUGGCGGCAUGCCUUACACAUGCAAGUCGAACGGAUUCUUGGGGCUUGCUCCAAGAGUUAGUGGCGAACGGGUGAGUAAUGCAUCGGAACGUGCCCAAUCGUGGGGGAUAACGUAGCGAAAGUUACGCUAAUACCGCAUACGUCCUGAGGGAGAAAGCAGGGGACUCGCAAGAGCCUUGCGCGAAUGGAGCGGCCGAUGUCGGAUUAGCUAGUUGGCGGGGUAAAAGCCCACCAAGGCGACGAUCCGUAGCUGGUCUGAGAGGACGACCAGCCACACUGGGACUGAGACACGGCCCAGACUCCUACGGGAGGCAGCAGUGGGGAAUUUUGGACAAUGGGCGAAAGCCUGAUCCAGCCAUGCCGCGUGAGUGAAGAAGGCCU